ACAGUUGUAGCUCAAAGGUAGAACACUUGCCUAGCAUGUAUGAGGUACUGGGUUCAAUCCUCAGCACUAUA
RNAcentral lists this transfer RNA (71 nucleotides) under Marmota monax (woodchuck). RNAcentral's name for it is "tRNA.Ala". The record is from RNAcentral. Lineage: Eukaryota; Metazoa; Chordata; Mammalia; Rodentia; Sciuridae.